CCCUUAGAUGUCCUGGGCCGCACGCGCGCUACACUGAACGGAUCAGCGCGUUUUCCCUUCCCGAGAGGGACGGGUAACCUGCUGAACCCCGUUCGUGGUAGGGAUCGGGGCUUGCAAUUAUUCCCCGUGAACCAGGAAUGCCCAGUAAGUGCAAGUCAUAAGCUUGCGUUGAUUACGUCCCUGCCCUUUGUACACACCGCCCGUCGCUACUACCGAUUGAACGUUUUAGUGAGGUACUCGGACUGAGCCUCAGAAGAUUCACGUCUUUUGUGCCGCUCGGGAAGAUUCCCAAACUUGAGCGUUUAGAGGAAGUAAAAGUCGUAACA
RNAcentral lists this ribosomal RNA (326 nucleotides) under uncultured eukaryote. RNAcentral's name for it is "partial 18S ribosomal RNA". It matches the Rfam family "Eukaryotic small subunit ribosomal RNA", at positions 1470 to 1796 of the family's 1831-position model. The record is from RNAcentral.